AUGAUCCCCUUUUCCGCAAAGCCCGCGACUUCCCAGCUCCGGCGGCGGCGCUCAUGUCUUGGAGGGAGUUGGGGCUUGAUUUGGAGGCAUGGAAGAUCCUCAAGCUCCUCGUCCUCGAGCUCCUCAUCCACCAGUUCCUCCUUUAGACCCCGAGCAGCUGCUGCGGAAGUCGACGGCGUGGGGAAGACGACCACGACAUGGGGAAGACUUGCUCCAGCCACAUGCCACUGCCCCGUGCUCGUCUUGCCGCUGCCAUUUCCCUCCUCGAACUGGCGGACUGAUGAUGGAGGACCUGCCCUCUUUGCUGCACCGGCGCCGUCGCUGCCGCAUUUGCUUCUGCUCCUACUGCCCGCUCGCCCACGCGAUUGGAGCAGGACUUGGUGCAGAGGAAUGGAGUACGAGUACGGAUACUGCUUCCGUUGA
RNAcentral lists this ribosomal RNA (423 nucleotides) under Triticum aestivum (bread wheat). Its description in RNAcentral is "partial small subunit ribosomal RNA". Lineage: Eukaryota; Viridiplantae; Streptophyta; Magnoliopsida; Poales; Poaceae. The record is from RNAcentral.